RNAcentral lists this ribosomal RNA (538 nucleotides) under uncultured bacterium. RNAcentral's name for it is "bacterial SSU rRNA". It matches the Rfam family "Bacterial small subunit ribosomal RNA", at positions 777 to 1310 of the family's 1533-position model. The record is from RNAcentral.
AAUAGAUACCCAGGUAGUCCACGCCGUAAACGAUGAGUGCUAAGUGUUAGAGGGUUUCCGCCCUUUAGUGCUGCAGCAAACGCAUUAAGCACUCCGCCUGGGGAGUACGGUCGCAAGACUGAAACUCAAAGGAAUUGACGGGGGGCCCGCACAAGCGGUGGAGCAUGUGGUUUAAUUCGAAGCAACGCGAAGAACCUUACCAGGUCUUGACAUCCCGUGACAACUCUAGAGAUAGGGCUUUCCCCUUCGGGGGACACGGUGACAGGUGGUGCAUGGUUGUCGUCAGCUCGUGUCGUGAGAUGUUGGGUUAAGUCCCGCAACGAGCGCAACCCUUGAUCUUAGUUGCCAGCAUUCAGUUGGGCACUCUAAGGUGACUGCCGGUGGCAAACCGGAGGGGAAGGUGGGGAUGACGUCAAAUCAUCAUGCCCCUUAUGACCUGGGCUACACACGUGCUACAAUGGAUGGUACAAAGGGCAGCGAAACCGCGAGGUUAAGCAAAUCCCAUAAAACCAUUCUCAGUUCGGAUUGCAGGCUGCAA